AUUUUCCUAUAAUAAAAUUGUGAAACUAGAGCUAUAAGAAUGAUUAUACCAGUUCGAUGUUUUACGUGUGGUAAAGUUAUUGGUAAUAAAUGGGAGGCAUAUAUUGGUUUAUUACAGGUGGAGUAUACCGAGGGUGAUGCCUUGGAUGCUCUUGGAUUACGAAGAUAUUGCUGUCGAAGAAUGCUGCUUUCUCAUGUGGAUCUUAUUGAAAAACUUCUUAAUUACGCCCCUCUUGAAAAAUAAUCACUUUGAUUAAAAUGAUUAUUAAAAAACAAUAACUGUGAACUUUUUGAAAUAACAAUAUAAAUAUUUUGGAGCUGAAAUGUGUAAGCAGUGUUAAUAGAGAUUGUUAAAUACCAGGCUGGGAAUUAAUGAGUUUAGUAAAACCUGACUUUGUAACAACUGUCAUUCAAAAGCCAUUAAACAAUAAAAGCACUCUAAUAACAUAACAUACAGAUGUGACGUCAUCUUUUUCAGUCAGCAUACCAUUAUUUCAAAUAAUGGUAAGGGCAACAUGCCAAUCGUACAUUAGUGAAAUAUUGAACUCACUGAUGAUUUUGUUGAAAUGUACAUGCAGGAUGGUGUCUGUAUUGUAAGAAUAGUCUAGAGCUAGACAUUGCAUUGUAUAUUGAUACAAUUUACUGUAUCAAUAUAUUACUUAAUGUCUAGUUCUCAACCAUUAAACAACACAUAAUAACAAAAUAUUUAGAUAAUUUUUCAGCAGACAAAAUUUAUAUCUUUCUUUGUUAUUGUGAUUGAAUUAUCAUUCUGCCAUUUGUAUUAUAUUCAUAUUGUAAAAUAAAUCCAUUUAUCAACUGC
Long non-coding RNA from Patella vulgata (common limpet), 819 nucleotides. RefSeq lists it as uncharacterized. Lineage: Eukaryota; Metazoa; Mollusca; Gastropoda; Patellidae. The record is from RefSeq and is a predicted model, not a curated record. The transcript has 2 exons.